AAGUCGUAACAAGGUUUCCGUAGGUGAACCUGCGGACGGAUCAUUAACACGUAUCCAUUCGUUAAAACCCCCCCCGUGAACCUUCAUCCUGCUCUUGUAACCCGCGUAGUUCGCAAUCUCUGAUAAAUCAUAGCCCGGAAAGUUGUAGUGAUUCAGAGACAUCUGGCUACGUGCGAACAUUGGAACAGUUACAAUCGAGCGGUAGUUCUAUAGGCAAUGUUUCCCCAAGCAGUCAGUGUCGGAAAGUGUCAUUGAUUGUGCAAGGAUAGCGCUUCUACGAUUCCUGUAGACCGUACACACAAUGGAUAUCUUGGUUCUC
Molecule: unclassified non-coding RNA, 319 nt
Filed under: fungal sp.
Lineage: Eukaryota; Fungi
Description: partial internal transcribed spacer region
Rfam family: Eukaryotic small subunit ribosomal RNA (bases 1-46)
Source: RNAcentral